GGCAAACCUUCAGGUGUUUUCUCGGUGAGAAGUGAUUAUAAGUUGCUCCAUGAUGGUGGUUGUGAUAAUCAACUUACAGAAUUACAAAAUACCAUGAAAGGAUUUUACAAGAAGUUGUGGGGAUUAAAUUUAAAUUCAAAACAACAAAUCAUAACUUGUAAAAUUUCCUGGAAUUUUUAACCUACACUAGCUAAUCUCUAUAACAAACAAAUUGGAGUCAACACAGCUUGUCCAAAAUGCGGAAGGGGUCCUGAAACUGUUGACCAUAUUUUUAGGAGUUGUCCUGUCACAGUGGAAAUGUGGAAUGAGUUGAAUCUUGGUUGGUUACUAUCUCAACCACUGCUAAAUAUAAGGGAGUGUCUAACCUGGGUUUUUCAGAGUGGUUCAGUUGAUAAUUGUAGGAGGAUUUGUUGUGCGAUGUGGGUAACCUGGAAUGAGAAAAACAAAACAUUACAUGAGGGUUCAAGAAAUUCUGGUCAAUGGGCAGCAAAAAGCAUUGGAAAAAUAUAUUAAAGAUGUAGCACCCCAAACCUGGCCCAGACGUUAUGACCGGAUCCGACAUGCCACAUCGAAGCGUUCAAAACAUUUUAUAUUGUUGAUCCAGAAAAACUUACUUAGUGUUUUAAAAGAUAAUUUCAUUAUAGGUUAAAGUGAAUGGAAGCUGUGCAUCAGGUAGGAAACCGGAAAAGAGGUGGUGAGUCCAUCGGACUGCUUAAGUACCAAGCUCCCUUCGGAUCCAAUCCUAGACAUGCAUACUGCCAUUGCCACACCUUAACGUCAUGGAUAUUUCUAGGAAACCGAUUUGAUUAAGUCAUUUUUAGGAAAAGUGAUUAAUCUUGUAAAAUACUUUUAUUGCGGAAGCUUUGCUUGUUGUCGUGUUAUUUUGAAAUCAAUUGUUGUUUUUGAAAACGCGCUCUAAAGCUAUCCAAUUUCAACAGUUAAAUAUAAGUAAUACCUAUCUUAGUAAUACAUAUUAAAACCAUCAAAAAUAAUUAAGCAGCCUUAUUACAUUUAAAAACCCAAACCUUAACGUAAAUAAUAGGAUGUCCAGUUCACUAGAAGAAAACCAAACUUUCAGAACGGGUGACCACUCCGAAUUCCCUCACAGCUCCAAGCCCACUAUGGUUGGGGAUUUCCUGCAUGGAUAAAAAUAAAAGGGGUGAGUUUGGGGAAACUCAGUGUGUAAGGAAAACCCAUUCAAAGCCCAAGUCAGCUCAAGCCUAUUGGGCCUAAGCCCAUUCAGGUAACAGUGGUACUGGACCGGAGCCCUUAUCAGAUUACAAUAAACUGGGCCUUAGCCCCUUAUUCAGAUAACAGUAUGGCCCAUAGGCCCAUUUCAAAAUACAUGCAACAUCAAUAAACAUAUACAAGCCCAUUUGGGGAGACUACUCAACCCACCAACCACUACACUCCACCUGUACCAACCAUACACUCCAUGUGGGGAAUAGCUCAACCCACCCAGCCCAACACUCCACAGUUGCAGCCUUGCUGCUCAGUUAACAGUAAAUUGAGGCAAAGCCUCCAGUACGUGGACAAGCUACUUUCAGUACUUCCUCCGUCAAUAUCCCAAUCCCAUGCAUCAGAUAAUAACAACAUGACAUGCAGUAAAUAACAACAGUCAAACAUGCAUUUAGGUCAAUUUAACCCUAGGGGUAUUUCGGUAAUUUUACACCUAGGGGUAUAACAGUAAUUUUCCAUACAUAGGGGUAUUAUAGUAAUUUAGCUACUUUUAGGGUUUUUCAUGCAUAUUCCUACUUUUCACGUACUAACAAAAUCACGUACCGAGGAUUCUUACCGAAUUGGGCCUGUUGGCCCAUCAUUCCAAUUUUGGCCCAUUAAGCCCAAAAAUAUCGAGGGCACAGAAAUCAUGCACUUUGCAGUCCAAAUUUUGCAGCUUACCAAAAACAUUAAUCGAUUUACCUCACGAGCAUUUGCACACUCGCAAAUCUACAAAAUACCGGUUUUCAGCAUUUCGGCUUUUCGACUUUUACCGAUCUAGACUAAGAAAGAGGGUGUUAGUUACACACCUGUUUGCGACGAUAUGCUGACGAGAUCCACACACGAACUGCCUACAAUUGGAUUACUAACACGUUAAUCUAACUAUUCAAAUACGAACUACGUAUUAACCCCUUACAAUAUUCGGCCAACCACACCUACAGAUCAUAGUAAGCUUAUAAGAAAUCAAUAAGCAACUCAUUAACAAUUUUUUGUCAAUGUUUACCACAUAAUCAUAAUUUCACUGCAAGCUGUCUUCCUGAGCAAUAGGCACUAAAUCAUUUAUAACUGGAGCUAAGAAACUCCAAAUCAAGUUCCGUUAAUUUUCCCUGAAAAUAGACUCAUAUAUCUUCUAUCCAUAAAAUUUUCAGAAUUUUUGGUUUGGCCAAUCAAUACCAGAUUUUUCUUAACGUUUCCCAUGUUUCACUGUUUGACUAAUCUGACCACUCUUCAUUACAAAUCAAAUUUCUCAUUGUACAGAAUUCAAAAUAUGUUCUCGUUUAUUUCAUUUGAAACUAGACUCAUUAAGCUUUAAUUACAUAAUUUAUUCACCUUCUAAAUCAUCUCUCACAAUUUAUGGUGAUUUUCCAAAGUCACGUUACUGCUGCUGUCCCAAGCAGAUUUAUUACCAAAUUCACUCUUUCACACAUAACUUGCAUGCAUGUUAUUUAAACAUGUAUAUCACCAAUAAAUCAUCACAUAUCUAUGAUUUUACUUAAGUAUAAUCUCCAUUUAAUCAUUUUAAAGCACAACAUGUUAGCUGAUUUUUCCCUUUAGCAUCUAAGGCACAUCCAUGUUCAUUUGUUUGGCUCAACUUCACCUAUCUUCCAUUUUUCAUCAAAAGAGCAUGAAACAACAACCAUUUCCUUCAUUUUAAUUCAUGACCAAAUGCUCACAACACAACCAAAAACCAAAAUAUUCUUCAAGAGUUAAGGUAGAAUCAAGAAGAACUCAUGAACAUCAAGAUAGAAGCAAACUACCAUGAACUUACCUUCAAUUUUCUUCCCCAAGUGACCGAACAUUCAAGAGCUUUCUCCUCUCCUUUCUCUUCUCUAACUUUAGGCUAUGAUGAACAAAGAUGGACAAAACUUUGUUCUUUUCACCCCUUUUUCUUUUAAUAAAAUUUCAUAUUUCAUCCAUUUAAUUCUUUAAUACAAAAGACAUGAAAUGCCCAUCAUGGAACAUUUACCUAAACCAUUAUCAUGGAACAUUUACCUAACCCAUUAUCAUGGAAUAUUUACCUAAUCCAUUAUCAUGGAACAUUUACCUAACCCAUUAUCAAUUUGUACCAUGAAUUAUGGAUAUCAAGUGCUCAUAUUGUCUACAACAACAUGAUGGCUGGCCACUUCAUGUAAAAUGGGAGGUUUGUCAUGCAAAUCCUCCUAUUUUGCACUCCUAUUUAUUUGGCCACUUCAAUUUAGCCUAUAGCAUUUUUAAACAUUUUCACAUAGGUCCUAUUUCAUAAUUUCACCCCCUUUUUCUUAUGGAACAAAAAUUAACUAAAAUUGUCGGGUUCUAUCUUAAGCUUGGGCCUUCUAGAGGCCCACUAACAUAAUUAAACCUAUGCCAACAUUCACAGAAUUCCCAAAAUUGGGGCGUUACAAAGGAACUAGACGAAGUGGGAGAACAAAUGCUUACCAGGAAUCGCAUGGGUCCAGAGUGGGUUCCUCUGAGAGACCCAUUUGUUUGUAUUAAUUUUAAUGUCGCUUACGAUCCAAAAGAGUUCACAUCGGGGUCAGAACUGGUUGCUAGAAACAUUAGAGGGGAGAUUUUGGUCACCAAAUCUACGCUGCUUGGGGGAGUAGUGUCUCCGUUUGCAGCAGAAGCUCUCGAGUGCGAUCAAGCAGUGGCUUUGGACAGAAGUAUGGGCAUUGACAUGGUUGAAAUAGAAGGGGAUUUAUUAUCAGUUAUCAAAAAAAGUAAAGCAAAAGAGUAAGUAUAGAUCUAAGAUUGAGGCUUUAAUUAGAGAUAUCCAGCAAAUCAAAGGAGGGUUCAAAGAAAUACAUUUAAGAUAUCUACCCAGAACAGCAAACUGAAUGGCUCAUGCAAUCGCAACUAAGGCCUUCUUUGGUUUACCAGUGAAGGCCAGUGUGGUGCAGUGAGGGAUAGUAAACUUAAAUUUUUGGUUCAAUAGCACAGUGCAGUGAAAACUUAUUUCAGCCACACUGAUAUGCUGAAAACAGGCUGGAGGAUUCAGCUGUAGUGAAGGCCAGUACAAUUGUAGGUAUUUUUUUGAGACAAACAUACCCAUACUUUUAUUUAUUAUUUUACCAUUUUAGCCUUGAAACUUAAAUUAAUUUCUUCCCCAACAACAGUUGUUUUCAGAUUUGGGAACGAAACAACCAUUUUCUUUUUCAUAUUUGAGAAGUAAAAUACUAAUUUCUCCCCUCUUUUUUGCUUUGUUCUUGGUUGUGGCUACUUUUUGAAGGUAUUUUCAUUAAUUUCUUGUUAUCUCUAGUUCUGGCUUCUUCUACUCUUCUUUGUCACAGUUGUUAUUAUUAUUACUAUUAUUUUUGAGAACGAAACAACUAUUUUCUUUUGCUUUGUUCUUGGUUUAGCAGUGUUUUAACACUGAUUUCUCCCCUCUUUUUUGCUUUGUUCUUGGUUGUGGCUGAGGUAUUUUCAUUAAUUUCUUAUUAUCUCUAGUUCUGGCUUCUUCUACUCUUCUUUGUCGCAGUUGUUAGUCCUUUUGACUAUUGAUGUUAAAGUAGUAGAUUAAUGAUCUAAUGUUUUAGAAGUGCAUUUGGUUAAUUCUUUGUCUGUUUGCUGAGAAAUGUGAGGUUAAAAAAAAAACUUUUACCAUUUCUGUUUUGUUAUUAUUGCACUCAAAUUUAAAACCCUGAACAGCAAAAAAUGAGCUUAGUUGAAUUUGGAGAAUUGAAAAGAAAAUAGACUUUGGCCUUGAUGGGGUUGAGUUUUUGGAAGUAUAUACAAAUAAUUCUUUGUUUGUUUGCUAAUAAAUAUGAGGAAAAGCAAGAUGAACUUUUCCCAUUUUUGUUUUCUUCAUAUGAGCCUAUUUUGAUUUUCUUUGGCACUCAAAUUUGAAGUCCUGAACACCAAAACUAAACUUAGUUGAAUUUGGUUAAUUGAAAAAAUAUAUGGGAACUGAAAAAAAAAAACAAGUCCUUGCUGUGUUGAUGGGAUUGAGUUUUUAGAAGUACAUUGGGAUAAAUUCUUUGUUUGUUUGCUAUGAAAAGUGAGAAGAAAAUGAACCUUACAAUUAUAUAAAUUCUUUGUUUGUUUGUUAUGAAAUGUGAGAAAAAAAAGUGAGCUUAGUUCAACAUUCAAUAUUCUGUUCUUAUGAUUUGUGUCUUGCAGGUUGGAGGCUCUGAGGUGCCUACUUCAUUUGUUAGUGUAGAAGCAGGCAAGGUAUGUAUUUGAAAUAGUGAAACUUGUUUAAAAUCGUGUAACUGUGAGGAAAAAUGUAAAAUCUUACCUACAAGUUUGAUGUCUGUGUUAUCACCAACCAUUGUGCCCCAUCUUUCUUAAAUCCUGUGAAGUCUGAAGUAAACUCUGUUUUAUGCUUAUCAGCCUCCUGAAAAUGAAAACAUAUCAACAAUUUUAAGUCAUUUCUGUAGAACAAAACAAAAGUCAAUCCUAUCAAGUAGUAUCACCAUUAUUAAAGACAUCUGAUAUAGUCAUGCUUCAAAAAUACUCUUGAUAGGAGCCCACUCAACUAUAUUCGCUUCAUGCAUAUGUAAAUGCAGACAAAUGAAAGUCAUUACUCCAAAACAAAAGUCAUUUCACAUGCAUAGUUCAUGCUUUUCUAAGUUGAUCAUGCUAACUUUCAUAAGCCGAAACACUAGUAAAAGUCAUUACUCCAGCACUUUCAAUUCACAUUUACAAUCAGUAAUCCAAAUAUACCACAUCUAGAACAAUUUAUCAAUUUAAAUUAUAUUCAACAAGUACUAUUAAAAUUUUAAAUCUGAAACUAAGAAGGAACAAAGAUUUUUAUUACAGAGAGAUAAAAAAAACCAAAAGAAAAAAGAGAAGAGAGUGGAAGGUCAAACUUUAUCAAUGGCAUGGGUUCUUAAAAAAUUAUUUGAUAACAAAGUAGCUUCUUUUUAUUGGGAAAUCUGGGUAUUCUUUCUUAAGUUUGCUGAGAGAGAAAGAAAUGGCAGUAAGUUUUUUUUUUCUUUUAACUUUAUUGUGUUUUGGUUUAGUUUACAGUACUUUUAUGUUUGUUUCCCGAGAAAAUUUCAAAUAAGCUGAGAAUUAUGGAAUUCAUUUUAUCAAAAACUCUUGUUCUUAUUAUUUAUAUCUAAAUUUCUAUCAUAAAAACUCAAAUUCCAUAGCUUUCUAAACCAUAGCAGAUUAUCAAUUAGUCACUAUAACAAAAAUUAUCAAGUGGGUUUCGAAGAGAAUUAAGCAAGGAGUUCAAAACUACUAAAAUGUAACAAAAUUAACUAGAAAUUCACCUUGAAUUUUGAUCUCAAAUUGCCGAAAUUUCAAAGCUUUUCUUCUCCAACAUUCGGCUCCCCAAAAGAUGAAUAUGCAAGCACUAACAUUUUUGUGUUUUGUUUUACCAAUAUUUGAGUUAUUA
This 6538-nucleotide long non-coding RNA is filed under the name Gossypium barbadense (sea-island cotton). RNAcentral's name for it is "long non-coding RNA (GBAR_LNC006114)". Lineage: Eukaryota; Viridiplantae; Streptophyta; Magnoliopsida; Malvales; Malvaceae. The record is from RNAcentral.